This is a non-coding RNA of Cercocebus atys (sooty mangabey), 627 nucleotides long. The record is from the annotation of a RefSeq genome assembly. Lineage: Eukaryota; Metazoa; Chordata; Mammalia; Primates; Cercopithecidae.
AUGGAAGCCCCAGGUCAGCUUCUCUUCCUCCUGCUUCUCUGGCUCCCAGAUACCACCGGAGAAAUUGUAAUGACGCAGUCUCCAGCCACCUGGGCUUUGUCACCAGGGGAAAGAGCCACCCUCUCCUGCAGGGCCAGUCAGAGUGUUAGCAGCAGGUUAGCCUGGUACCAGCAGAAACCUGGGCAGGCUCCCAGGCUCCUCAUCUAUGGUGCAUCCAGCAGGGCCACUGGCAUCCCAGACAGAUUCAGUGGCAGUGGGUCUGGAACAGAGUUCACUCUCACCAUCAGCAGCCUGGAGCCUGAAGAUGUUGCAGUUUAUUUCUGUCAGCAGGAUUAUAGCUGGCCUCCCACAGUGAUUCAACAUGAAACAAAAACCUCAACAAGACCAGUAUCAAAUGAGGCCCAUAUAUUCAUGCCUAAACCUUUGUCUUUGUCCAACCUGAGCCCACGUUUGGGCCAUCCACUGGCAUCCGAGUACACUUGUGAGAUGAUCACUGUGCAGACAGCAUUGCUGGGGCAACUCACAGACAGCUCCAUGCUGAGUCUCUCCCCUCAAACUCCCAGCAUCACUAACCCUGAAGGAGUGUCCUCCUGUCCUCCACAGCACCCAGAGCCUGCCCUGCCAUGA